RNAcentral lists this small nuclear RNA (107 nucleotides) under Octodon degus (degu). The record is from RNAcentral. Lineage: Eukaryota; Metazoa; Chordata; Mammalia; Rodentia; Octodontidae.
UUGCUUGCUUUGGCAGCACAUGUACUAAAAUUAGAACAAUACACAGAAGAUUAGCAUGGCCCCUGCACAAGGAUGACACGCAAAUUUGUGAAAUGUUCCAUAUUUUU